AACGAACGCUGGCGGCAUGCCUAACACAUGCAAGUCGAACGAGACCUUCGGGUCUAGUGGCGCACGGGUGCGUAACGCGUGGGAACUUGCCCUUAGGUUCGGAAUAACUCCCCGAAAGGGGUCCUAAUACCGGAUAAUGUCUUCGGACCAAAGAUUUAUCGCCUUUGGAUGGGCCCGCGUUGGAUUAGCUAGUUGGUAGGGUAAAAGCCUACCAAGGCGACGAUCCAUAGCUGGUCUGAGAGGAUGAUCAGCCACACUGGGACUGAGACACGGCCCAGACUCCUACGGGAGGCAGCAGUGGGGAAUAUUGGACAAUGGGCGAAAGCCUGAUCCAGCAAUGCCGCGUGAGUGAUGAAGGCCUUAGGGUUGUAAAGCUCUUUUACCCGGGAUGAUAAUGACAGUACCGGGAGAAUAAGCUCCGGCUAACUCCGUG
This 433-nucleotide ribosomal RNA is filed under the name uncultured bacterium. Its description in RNAcentral is "partial 16S ribosomal RNA". It matches the Rfam family "Bacterial small subunit ribosomal RNA", at positions 29 to 507 of the family's 1533-position model. The record is from RNAcentral.